CACGUAGGCUCCAAGCGUUGUCCGGAUUUAUUGGGCGUAAAGAGCUCGUAGGCGGUUUGGUAAGUCGGGUGUGAAAACUCUGGGCUUAACCCAGAGAGGCCACCCGAUACUGCCAUGACUUGAGUACGGUAGGGGAGUGGGGAAUUCCUGGUGUAGCGGUGAAAUGCGCAGAUAUCAGGAGGAACACCAGUGGCGAAGGCGCCACUCUGGGCCGAAACUGACGCUGAGGAGCGAAAGCGUGGGUAGCAAACAGG
Molecule: ribosomal RNA, 254 nt
Filed under: uncultured bacterium
Lineage: Bacteria
Description: partial 16S ribosomal RNA
Rfam family: Bacterial small subunit ribosomal RNA
Source: RNAcentral